UACGUAGGCAGCAAGCGUUGUUCGGAGUUACUGGGCGGAAAGAGUAUGUAGGCGGUUGCGUAAGUUCGGUGUGAAAUCUCCCGGCUUAACUGGGAGGGUGCGCCGAAAACUGCGUGGCUUGAGUGCGGGAGAGGAGAGCGGAAUUCCUGGUGUAGCGGUGAAAUGCGUAGAUAUCAGGAGGAACACCGGCGGUGUAGACGGCUCUCUGGACCGUAACUGACGCUGAGAUACGAAAGCGUGGGUAGCAAACAGG
RNAcentral lists this ribosomal RNA (253 nucleotides) under uncultured bacterium. Its description in RNAcentral is "partial 16S ribosomal RNA". It matches the Rfam family "Bacterial small subunit ribosomal RNA", at positions 524 to 776 of the family's 1533-position model. The record is from RNAcentral.